RNAcentral lists this ribosomal RNA (501 nucleotides) under uncultured bacterium. RNAcentral describes it as "partial 16S ribosomal RNA". It matches the Rfam family "Bacterial small subunit ribosomal RNA", at positions 30 to 523 of the family's 1533-position model. The record is from RNAcentral.
AUUGAACGCUGGCGGCAGGCUUAACACAUGCAAGUCGAGCGGAGCGAGGGUGCUUGCACCUUAGCUUAGCGGCGGACGGGUGAGUAAUGCUUAGGAAUCUGCCUAUUAGUGGGGGACAACAUUCCGAAAGGAAUGCUAAUACCGCAUACGCCCUACGGGGGAAAGCAGGGGAUCUUCGGACCUUGCGCUAAUAGAUGAGCCUAAGUCGGGUUAGCUAGUUGGUGGGGUAAAGGCCUACCAAGGCGACGAUCUGUAGCGGGUCUGAGAGGAUGAUCCGCCACGCUGGGACUGAGACACGGACCAGACUCCUACGGGAGGCAGCAGUGGGGAAUAUUGGACAAUGGGCGGAAGCCUGAUCCAGCCAUGCCGCGUGUGUGAAGAAGGCCUUUUGGUUGUAAAGCACUUUAAGCGAGGAGGAGGCUACUUAGAUUAAUACUCUGGGAUAGUGGACGUUACUCGCAGAAUAAGCACCGGCUAACUCUGUGCCAGCCGCCGCGGUAA